AGAGUUUGAUCCUGGCUCAGGAUGAACGCUGGCGGCGUGCCUAAUACAUGCAAGUCGAACGCACAGCGAAAGGUGCUUGCACCUUUCAAGUGAGUGGCGAACGGGUGAGUAACACGUGGAUAACCUACCUCAAGGUUGGGGAUAACAUUUGGAAACAGAUGCUAAUACCGAAUAAAACUUCGUAUCGCAUGAUACAAGGUUAAAAGGCGCUACGGCGUCACCUAGAGAUGGAUCCGCGGUGCAUUAGUUAGUUGGUGGGGUAAAGGCCUACCAAGACAAUGAUGCAUAGCCGAGUUGAGAGACUGAUCGGCCACAUUGGGACUGAGACACGGCCCAAACUCCUACGGGAGGCUGCAGUAGGGAAUCUUCCACAAUGGGCGAAAGCCUGAUGGAGCAACGCCGCGUGUGUGACGAAGGCUUUCGGGUCGUAAAGCACUGUUGUAUGGGAAGAACAGCUAGAGUAGGGAAUGACUUUAGUUUGACGGUACCAUACCAGAAAGGGACGGCUAAAUACGUGCCAGCAGCCGCGGUAAUACGUAUGUCCCGAGCGUUAUCCGGAUUUAUUGGGCGUAAAGCGAGCGCAGACGGUUGAUUAAGUCUGAUGUGAAAGCCCGGAGCUCAACUCCGGAAAGGCAUUGGAAACUGGUCAACUUGAGUGCAGUAGAGGUAAGUGGAACUCCAUGUGUAGCGGUGGAAUGCGUAGAUAUAUGGAAGAACACCAGCGGCGAAGGCGGCUUACUGGACUGUAACUGACGUUGAGGCUCGAAAGUGUGGGUAGCAAACAGGAUUAGAUACCCUGGUAGUCCACACCGUAAACGAUGAACACUAGGUG
RNAcentral lists this ribosomal RNA (832 nucleotides) under uncultured bacterium. Its description in RNAcentral is "bacterial SSU rRNA". It matches the Rfam family "Bacterial small subunit ribosomal RNA", at positions 8 to 822 of the family's 1533-position model. The record is from RNAcentral.